CACGUAGGGGGCAAGCGUUGUCCGGAUUUAUUGGGCGUAAAGAGCUCGUAGGCGGCUCAGUAAGUCGGGUGUGAAACCUCCAGGCUCAACCUGGAGACGCCACCCGAUACUGCUGUGGCUUGAGUCCGGUAGGGGAGCGUGGAAUUCCUGGUGUAGCGGUGAAAUGCGCAGAUAUCAGGAGGAACACCGGUGGCGAAGGCGGAUCUCUGGGCCGAUACUGACGCUGAGGAGCGAAAGCGUGGGGAGCGAACAGG
RNAcentral lists this ribosomal RNA (254 nucleotides) under uncultured bacterium. RNAcentral's name for it is "partial 16S ribosomal RNA". It matches the Rfam family "Bacterial small subunit ribosomal RNA", at positions 524 to 776 of the family's 1533-position model. The record is from RNAcentral.